GAUGAACGCUGGCGGCGUGCCUAAUACAUGCAAGUCGAACGCUGAAGGAGGAGCUUGCUCUUCUGGAUGAGUUGCGAACGGGUGAGUAACGCGUAGGUAACCUGCCUGGUAGCGGGGGAUAACUAUUGGAAACGAUAGCUAAUACCGCAUGACAACAGUUAUUGCAUGAUAACGGUUUAAAAGGGGCAACUGCUCCACUACCAGAUGGACCUGCGUUGUAUUAGCUAGUUGGUGGGGUAACGGCUCACCAAGGCGACGAUACAUAGCCGACCGAGAGGGUGAUCGGCCACACUGGGACUGAGACACGGCCCAGACUCCUACGGGAGGCAGCAGUAGGGAAUCUUCGGCAAUGGACGGAAGUCUGACCGAGCAACGCCGAGGGAGUGAAGAAGGUUUUCGGAUCGUAAAGCUCUGUUGUAAGAGAAGAACGAGUGUGAGAGUGGAAAGUUCACACUGUGACGGUAUCUUACCAGAAAGGGACGGCUAACUACGUG
Molecule: ribosomal RNA, 494 nt
Filed under: uncultured bacterium
Lineage: Bacteria
Description: partial 16S ribosomal RNA
Rfam family: Bacterial small subunit ribosomal RNA
Source: RNAcentral